Long non-coding RNA from Diorhabda carinulata, 186 nucleotides. RefSeq lists it as uncharacterized. The record is from RefSeq and is a predicted model, not a curated record. The transcript has 2 exons. Lineage: Eukaryota; Metazoa; Arthropoda; Insecta; Coleoptera; Chrysomelidae.
CGGAUAUGUGCCCCACUCGCGAAACUCAGUGAAGCAUUUUCAAUUUGGCGCUUAUUUGAUCCUAGCUGGUCAUUGUUCCAAGUAUGGCCGCGAUGUAAACAACACUGUGCUGGUUUUUAUUUAGUUUUAGUGAGAAAAAGUGAUUAAAAGGAAAUGGGAAAGGUUAAAGCUGUUGAUCCAAGAAAA